CUGUUUUAUUAAAAACAUGUCUUUUUGAUUAUAAUUUAAGGUUUAAUCUGCUCAAUGAUUAUUUAAAUUGCCGCAGUAUUUUGACUGUGCAAAGGUAGCAUAAUAAUUAGUUUCUUUAUUGGGAACUGGAAUGAAUGAUUGGACGAGAAAAUUUCUGUCUCUUUAUUAUUUUAAUUGAAUUUUACUUUUAAGUUAAAAGGCUUAAAUUUUAUUAGAGGACGAGAAGACCCUAUAGAGUUUAAUUUUUAUUUAAAUAAUUAUUUUUAGUAUUUAUAUAUAUUAUUUAAAUAAAAAUUUAGUUGGGGUGACUAAAAGAUAAGAAUAACUCUUUUAAUUUUUAUCAAUUAUUUUUGAUUAUAAAAUCUUUAUUUUUAAUUUUAAAAUAAAUUACCUUAGGGAUAACAGCGUAAUUCUUUUUUAAAGUUCUUAUUAAAAGAAGAGUUUGCGACCUCGAUGUUGGAUUAAAAUUAAUUUUAGGUGUAGAAGCUUGAAAAUUAAGUCUGUUCGACUUUUAAAAUUUUACAUGAUCUGAGUUUAAACCGGUGUGAGCCAGGUUGGUUUCUAUCCUUAAUUAUAUAUUAUACUUU
Molecule: ribosomal RNA, 587 nt
Filed under: Pteroptyx tener
Lineage: Eukaryota; Metazoa; Arthropoda; Insecta; Coleoptera; Lampyridae
Description: partial large subunit ribosomal RNA
Rfam family: Bacterial large subunit ribosomal RNA
Source: RNAcentral